GUGAGGAAUUUUCCGCAAUGGGCGAAAGCCUGACUGAGCAAUGCCGCGUGAAGGAUGAAGGCCUAUGGGUUGUAAACUUCUUUUCUUAGAGAAGAAUAUUGACGGUAUCUGAGGAAUAAGCAUCGGCUAACUCUGUGCCAGCAGCCGCGGUAAGACAGAGGAUGCAAGCGUUAUCCGGAAUGAUUGGGCGUAAAGCGUCUGUAGGUGGCUUCAAAAGUCUCCUGUCAAAGAUCAGUGCUUAACCCUGGGCCGGCAGGAGAAACUCUGAGGCUAGAGUUUGGUAGGGGCAGAGGGAAUUCCCGGUGGAGCGGUGAAAUGCGUAGAGAUCGGGAGGAACACCAAAGGCGAAAGCACUCUGCUGGGCCACAACUGACACUGAGAGACGAAAGCGAGGGGAGCAAAAGGGAUUAGAUACCCGGGUAGUCC
Molecule: ribosomal RNA, 426 nt
Filed under: uncultured bacterium
Lineage: Bacteria
Description: partial 16S ribosomal RNA
Rfam family: Bacterial small subunit ribosomal RNA
Source: RNAcentral